GAAAAUAAAAUAAAAAAUAAUUAUAAUUUAUCUAAAAAAAAAAAAAUUUUUUUUGAAGUAGACCUUAACAUUUAGGGGGAUAAAAAAUAGAUGUUGUUCAAUUCUCAGACUUACCCGAUAUGCACACAAAAUUUCAUGAGAAUCGGUCAAGCCGUUUCGGAGGAGUUUAACUACAAACACCGCGACACGAGAAUUUUAUAUAUUAGAUUAUACAGUUAAAGUUUGAAGCUGGAGCAGUCAUCAAAAUAAAAGAGACAAAAACGUAAUAUUUUUCAGUCUAAAUUUUUUGCCUCAGGAUUUACAUAUCGAGUUAUAUUUCGUUUUUAAUGUGAUAAUAAACGCAGAUAACAGGACGACGAGCACCAUCCAUAAUACCUGUGAACAUUAACAUAAAGCGUUAACGCGGGUAUAUAUAUCGACUGUCGCCACUGCACCUUGCAUCAUUUGCUUACCGCUAUCAGAGCUCUAAGCAAAAUUAUACACAAAAUGUCUCGCACAAGCUUAAUACUUCUUCUUGUUUGUUUCGUGUGCGUCGCCGAGAUUACAAAUGCAUACUUCAUUAAAGAAAGCAGUAGCAGUGCAGUUCAUCAAUCAUGUUUAAGUAAGGGAAAAUCUUGUAAGCGCAAUGAUGAUUGCUGCGAUAAACUAUGUUUUCCAUUCGUGCAGAAAUGCGUUAAGAAAUAAUUUUGUUUGAAAUGAAUAUAAUAUUAUAUUAUUUAAUUAUUUACCGUAAGGUACGGAAUGGGUUAAUAUUAGAUAAAUCUGGAGACUUUGGUGAUUUUUUCUUAAAAUUAUUGUACCUAGAUAUGAUAUUAUACAAUAAGGUUAACACAAUAAAAUGAAAUGAAACGUUCGUUUGUUUAUUUACUGAAAUCCCAGUUAAUCAUCUCAUCAAUCAACUUUCAAAGUCAUGGUGGAAUUUUAAAGAAGAAAAUAUGCAAUCGUAAGAUCCAAGUGACUUGUUCCUAACUUCCUUGAUUACGUUUCAAAAGCAACAUUCAUCUGCAAUUACAACUUUUUUGAGUUUUAAAUCUGAACUUUAGUUGUUUCUAGAUUAUAAUCGAAAAUAUCGGCG
This 1075-nucleotide unclassified non-coding RNA is filed under the name Melitaea cinxia (Glanville fritillary). RNAcentral describes it as "misc RNA ENSMCXG00005019545.1". The record is from RNAcentral. Lineage: Eukaryota; Metazoa; Arthropoda; Insecta; Lepidoptera; Nymphalidae.